Molecule: ribosomal RNA, 253 nt
Filed under: uncultured bacterium
Lineage: Bacteria
Description: partial 16S ribosomal RNA
Rfam family: Bacterial small subunit ribosomal RNA
Source: RNAcentral
UACGAAGGGGGCUAGCGUUGCUCGGAAUCACUGGGCGUAAAGGGCGCGUAGGCGGCUGUUCAAGUCGGGGGUGAAAGCCUGUGGCUCAACCACAGAAUGGCCUUCGAUACUGGACGGCUCGAGACCGGAAGAGGUCAGUGGAACUGCGAGUGUAGAGGUGAAAUUCGUAGAUAUUCGCAAGAACACCAGUGGCGAAGGCGGCUGACUGGCCCGGUACUGACGCUGAGGCGCGAAAGCGUGGGGAGCAAACAGG